AGUCGAGGGGCAGCGGGGAGGUAGCAAUACUUCCGCCGGCGACCGGCGCACGGGUGAGUAACACGUAUGGAACCUGCCCGUAGCAGGGGGAUAAGCGGAAGAAAUUCCGUCUAAUACCGCGUAAUAACUCCGAGAGGCAUCUCAUGGGGUUUAAAGGGUGACACCGGCUACGGAUGGCCAUGCGGCGCAUUAGCUAGUUGGCGGGGUAACGGCCCACCAAGGCGACGAUGCGUAGGGGUUCUGAGAGGAAGGUCCCCCACACUGGUACUGAGACACGGACCAGACUCCUACGGGAGGCAGCAGUGAGGAAUAUUGGUCAAUGGGCGCGAGCCUGAACCAGCCAAGUCGCGUGAGGGAAGACGGUCCUAUGGAUUGUAAACCUCUUUUGCCGGGGAGCAAAAGACGCCACGUGUGGCGUUCCGAGAGUACCCGAAGAAAAAGCAUCGGCUAACUCCGUGCCAGCAGCCGCGGUAAUACGGAGGAUUCAAGCGUUAUCCGGAUUUAUUGGGUUUAAAGGGUGCGUAGGCGGUCGGAUAAGUUAGAGGUGAAAUCCCGGGGCUCAACUUCGGAAUUGCCUCUGAUACUGUUCGGCUAGAGAGUAGUUGCGGUAGGCGG
Molecule: ribosomal RNA, 615 nt
Filed under: uncultured bacterium
Lineage: Bacteria
Description: bacterial SSU rRNA
Rfam family: Bacterial small subunit ribosomal RNA
Source: RNAcentral